AAGUUAUGAGACAUCAAGUCAAGUACAGAGAGGUAUAGUAAAUACUGAAGAUGUCAGAAAAAUGGUCAAUGAGUAGAUAAGAGAUAAGGGCAUCUCUAGUAUGAGAUGAUAACAGUUGGAACACUACAAUAAAAUCGGAGAGUAGAGGAAUGCGAUCUAUAGUACACGAAGAGUUUGAAAAAUAAAGUGUUUUAACUAUCUUUGCUUAGCUGGAGGAGUAAAUGCUUG
This 228-nucleotide unclassified non-coding RNA is filed under the name Hevea brasiliensis (rubber tree). Lineage: Eukaryota; Viridiplantae; Streptophyta; Magnoliopsida; Malpighiales; Euphorbiaceae. The record is from RNAcentral.